RNAcentral lists this transfer RNA (76 nucleotides) under Oscillibacter sp. CAG:241. Its description in RNAcentral is "transfer RNA-Thr(CGT)". It matches the Rfam family "tRNA". Rfam says of the family: Transfer RNA (tRNA) molecules are approximately 80 nucleotides in length. Their secondary structure includes four short double-helical elements and three loops (D, anti-codon, and T loops). Further hydrogen bonds mediate the characteristic L-shaped molecular structure. tRNAs have two regions of fundamental functional importance: the anti-codon, which is responsible for specific mRNA codon recognition, and the 3' end, to which the tRNAs corresponding amino acid is attached (by aminoacyl-tRNA synthetases). tRNAs cope with the degeneracy of the genetic code in two manners: having more than one tRNA (with a specific anti-codon) for a particular amino acid; and 'wobble' base-pairing, i.e. permitting non-standard base-pairing at the 3rd anti-codon position. RNAcentral also lists the same sequence under 11 other names. Lineage: Bacteria; Bacillati; Bacillota; Clostridia; Eubacteriales; Oscillospiraceae. The record is from RNAcentral.
GCUUGUGUGGCUCAGUUGGUAGAGCAGCUCACUCGUAAUGAGCAGGUCGCCGGUUCGAGUCCGGCCACAAGCUCCA